This 368-nucleotide small RNA is filed under the name Histoplasma capsulatum. RNAcentral's name for it is "hypothetical RNA". The record is from RNAcentral. Lineage: Eukaryota; Fungi; Ascomycota; Eurotiomycetes; Onygenales; Ajellomycetaceae. RNAcentral also lists the same sequence under 1 other name.
UGUUCAGAUGUGCAGGAAUUCUUACUUCGUACUAAGUGGGUUUGCAGCUUAUGCGGCGUUACUUUCGGCCCGAAGCCGUUGUUGGUGCAUGCCGCGAGUCCCGCAGACUUAUAUGGAGCUCCACAGUUGAGCUCCAUGGCAGUUUGUCCCUCAAGUCCACGCUUUAGUCUUCCUUAGCUGAGUUUAGUCAAUCCAAAACACAGCUCUUUUGCUACAAAAGCCCCUUGUGAAAGUGACGUGGCUCCAACAUUGCAACCUUGACGAAGCAUUCCCCGAUACAACUGCAAGUUCGCGGGUUUUACACUGUCAUCCGCUGGGGAGAUUUCCCUUUAGAGCGCUUUGCGCUCAUAGAACUCUUGGUCUCCAUC